This 272-nucleotide unclassified non-coding RNA is filed under the name Hevea brasiliensis (rubber tree). Lineage: Eukaryota; Viridiplantae; Streptophyta; Magnoliopsida; Malpighiales; Euphorbiaceae. The record is from RNAcentral.
AGUACAUGUACCUCAGUGGCGCAGAGUAGUCUUAUUAAUUUUGAAAUAUCAAGGAGACAAGGACUUAACAAUAACAUAUCAGAGGCUAUUUUAUUUACCUUUGAAAUAGCUGAAGCUGAAUUGUCAAAAUGAGCUAUUAAAGCCUAAGUCGAUGGGUCAAUGCGAAGCAAAGGGUUUUCAAUUGAUGAGUGAAGACACGUGCUUCAUAGAAUUGUGCAUGUGACACAGUGACACACAAAGUGAUCCAACAAUAAACAGUCAGUUCUUUUGAA